GACGAACGCUGGCGGCGUGCUUAACACAUGCAAGUCGAACGGAAAGGCCCUGCUUUUGUGGGGUGCUCGAGUGGCGAACGGGUGAGUAACACGUGAGUAACCUGCCCUUGACUUUGGGAUAACUUCAGGAAACUGGGGCUAAUACCGGAUAGGAGCUCCUGCUGCAUGGUGGGGGUUGGAAAGUUUCGGCGGUUGGGGAAGGACUCGCGGCUUAUCAGCUUGUUGGUGGGGUAGUGGCCUACCAAGGGUUUGACGGGUAGCCGGCCUGAGAGGGUGACCGGGCACAUUGGGACUGAGAUACGGCCCAGUCUCCUACGGGGGACAGCAGUGGGGAAUAUUGCACAAUGGGCGGAAGCCUGAUGAAGCAACGCCGCGUGCGGGAUGACGGCCUUCGGGUUGUAACCCGCUUUCGCCUGUGACGAAGCGUGAGUGACGGUAAUGGGUAAAGAAGCACCGGCUAACUACGUG
RNAcentral lists this ribosomal RNA (468 nucleotides) under uncultured bacterium. RNAcentral describes it as "partial 16S ribosomal RNA". It matches the Rfam family "Bacterial small subunit ribosomal RNA", at positions 28 to 507 of the family's 1533-position model. The record is from RNAcentral.